GGGUCAGUAGGUUGGUCGUGCCACCGGUACGUACUGGUCUCACUGAUUCCUCCUCCCUGAAGAACCGUAAUGCCAUUAAUUUGGUGUUGCGGGGAAACAGGACUGUUACUUUGACAAAAUUAGAGUGUUUAAAGCAAGCUAACGCUUGAAUACAUUAGCAUGGAAUAAUGAAAUAGGACGAUCGAUCCUAUUUUGUUGGUUUCUAGGAUUGACGUA
RNAcentral lists this ribosomal RNA (216 nucleotides) under Glomeromycotina sp. Its description in RNAcentral is "partial small subunit ribosomal RNA". The stretch from base 75 to 216 matches the Rfam family "Eukaryotic small subunit ribosomal RNA", at positions 721 to 864 of the family's 1831-position model. Lineage: Eukaryota; Fungi; Glomeromycota. The record is from RNAcentral.